GACGGAAGGUGCAAGCGUUGCUCGGAAUCACUGGGCGUAAAGGGUGCGUAGGCGGCUGUGCAAGUCUGGCGUGAAAGCCCCGGGCUCAGCCCGGGAAGUGCGCUCGAAACUGCACGGCUCGAGUGCCGGAGGGGAGAGUGGAAUUCCUGGUGUAGCGGUGAAAUGCGUAGAUAUCAGGAGGAAUACCGGUGGCGAUAGCGACUCUCUGGACGGCAACUGACGCUGAGGCACGAAAGCGUGGGGAGCAAACGGG
This 253-nucleotide ribosomal RNA is filed under the name uncultured bacterium. RNAcentral describes it as "partial 16S ribosomal RNA". It matches the Rfam family "Bacterial small subunit ribosomal RNA", at positions 524 to 776 of the family's 1533-position model. The record is from RNAcentral.